RNAcentral lists this ribosomal RNA (501 nucleotides) under uncultured bacterium. RNAcentral's name for it is "bacterial SSU rRNA". It matches the Rfam family "Bacterial small subunit ribosomal RNA", at positions 417 to 917 of the family's 1533-position model. The record is from RNAcentral.
UUCGGGGUGUAAACCACUGUUGCCCGGGACGAAUAGCUCGAUUAAUCGAGCCUGACGGUACCGGGUGAGGAAGCACCGGCUAACUCCGUGCCAGCAGCCGCGGUAAUACGGGGGGUGCGAGCGUUGUCCGGAAUCACUGGGCGUAAAGGGCGCGUAGGUGGUUUGAUAAGGGUGUGGUGAAAGUCCGGGGCUCAACCCCGGAUCUGCCGUGCCGACUGUCAAACUCGAGGACUGUAGAGGCAGGCGGAAUUCCGGGUGUAGCGGUGGAAUGCGUAGAGAUCCGGAGGAAGACCGGUGGCGAAGGCGGCCUGCUGGGCAGUUUCUGACACUGAUGCGCGACAGCGUGGGGAGCAAACAGGAUUAGAUACCCUGGUAGUCCACGCCGUAAACGAUGGGUACUAGGUGCCUGGGGGAGCGACCCUCUGGGUGCCGGCGCUAACGCAGGAAGUACCCCGCCUGGGGAGUACGACCGCAAAGUUGGAACUCAAAAGAAUUGACGGA